GAAAGAAAAAUCGAUUUCCUGAGUAGCGGCGAGCGAAACGGAAAGAGCCCAAACCAAGAAGCUUGCUUCUUGGGGUUGUAGGACACUCUAUACGGAGUUACAAAAGAAAGUUAUAAAUGAAGCGGUCUGGAAAGGCCCGCCAAAGACGGUAACAGCCCGGUAGUUGAAAUGGCUUUCCCUCCAGAGUGGAUCCUGAGUACGGCGGAACACGUGAAAUUCCGUCGGAAUCCGGGAGGACCAUCUCCCAAGGCUAAAUACUCCCUAGUGACCGAUAGUGAACCAGUACCGUGAGGGAAAGGUGAAAAGCACCCCGGAAGGGGAGUGAAACAGUUCCUGAAACCGUGUGCCUACAAGUAGUUAGAGCCCGUUAAUGGGUGAUAGCGUGCCUUUUGUAGAAUGAACCGGCGAGUUACGAUUUGUUGCAAGGUUAAGCGGAAAAAGCGGAGCCGUAGCGAAAGCGAGUCUGAAUAGGGCGCAUAAGUAACAGGUCGUAGACCCGAAACCAGGUGAUCUACCCAUGUCCAGGAUGAAGGUAAGGUAAUACUUACUGGAGGUCCGAACCCACGCACGUUGAAAAGUGCGGGGAUGAGGUGUGGGUAGCGGAGAAAUUCCAAUCGAACUUGGAGAUAGCUGGUUCUCUCCGAAAUAGCUUUAGGGCUAGCCUCGAGGUAAAGAGUCAUGGAGGUAGAGCACUGUUUGGACUAGGGGCCCUUCUCGGGUUACCGAAUUCAGAUAAACUCCGAAUGCCAUGUACUUAUACUCGGGAGUCAGACUGCGAGUGAUAAGAUCCGUAGUCGAAAGGGAAACAGCCCAGACCACCAGUUAAGGUCCCCAAAUAUAUGUUAAGUGGAAAAGGAUGUGGGGUUGCUUAGACAACCAGGAUGUUGGCUUAGAAGCAGCCACCAUUGAAAGAGUGCGUAAUAGCUCACUGGUCGAGUGACCCCGCGCCGAAAAUGUACCGGGGCUAAACAUAUUACCGAAACUGUGGAUGAACCUCUUUAGAGGUUCGUGGUAGGAGAGCGUUCUAAGGGCGGUGAAGUCAGACCGGAAGGACUGGUGGAGCGCUUAGAAGUGAGAAUGCCGGUAUGAGUAGCGAAAGAAGGGUGAGAAUCCCUUCCACCGAAUAUCUAAGGUUUCCUGAGGAAGGCUCGUCCGCUCAGGGUUAGUCGGGACCUAAGCCGAGGCCGAUAGGCGUAGGCGAUGGACAACA
This 1210-nucleotide ribosomal RNA is filed under the name Listeria monocytogenes. Its description in RNAcentral is "partial 23S ribosomal RNA". It matches the Rfam family "Bacterial large subunit ribosomal RNA", at positions 216 to 1427 of the family's 2925-position model. The record is from RNAcentral. Lineage: Bacteria; Bacillati; Bacillota; Bacilli; Caryophanales; Listeriaceae.